GGAGGAAAGCAGGGGAUCGCAAGACCUUGCGCUUUUGGAGCGGCCGAUGCCUGAUUAGCUUGUUGGUAAGGUAAAAGCUUACCAAGGCUUCGAUCAGUAGCUGGUCUGAGAGGACGGCCAGCCACACUGGGACUGAGACACGGCCCAGACUCCUACGGGAGGCAGCAGUGGGGAAUUUUGGACAAUGGGGGCAACCCUGAUCCAGCCAUGCCGCGUGAGUGAAGAAGGCCUUCGGGUUGUAAAGCUCUUUCAGCCGGAACGAAACGGUUACGGUUAAUACCUGUGACUAAUGACGGUACCGGAAGAAGAAGCACCGGCUAACUACGUGCCAGCAGCCGCGGUAAUACGUAGGGUGCGAGCGUUAAUCGGAAUUACUGGGCGUAAAGCGUGCGCAGGUGGUUUUGUAAGUCAGAUGUGAAAUCCCCGGGCUCAACCUGGGAACUGCGUUUGAAACUACAAAGCUAG
This 465-nucleotide ribosomal RNA is filed under the name uncultured bacterium. RNAcentral's name for it is "bacterial SSU rRNA". It matches the Rfam family "Bacterial small subunit ribosomal RNA", at positions 198 to 644 of the family's 1533-position model. The record is from RNAcentral.